GGACGAACGCUGGCGGCGUGCUUAACACAUGCAAGUCGAACGGUGAACCAGAGCUUGCUCUGGGGAUCAGUGGCGAACGGGUGAGUAACACGUGGGCAACCUGCCCCAGACUCUGGGAUAACCCCGGGAAACCGGAGCUAAUAUCGGAUAUGACCACUUCGGACAUCCGAUGGUGGUGGAAAGUUUUUCGGUCUGGGAUGGGCCCGCGGCCUAUCAGCUAGUUGGUGGGGUAAUGGCCUACCAAGGCGACGACGGGUAGCCGGCCUGAGAGGGCGACCGGCCACACUGGAACUGAGACACGGUCCAGACUCCUACGGGAGGCAGCAGUGGGGAAUAUUGCACAAUGGGCGAAAGCCUGAUGCAGCGACGCCGCGUGAGGGACGACGGCCUUCGGGUUGUAAACCUCUUUCAGCAGGGACGAAGCGAAAGUGACUGUACCUGCAAAAGAAGCACCGGCCAACUACGUG
This 467-nucleotide ribosomal RNA is filed under the name uncultured bacterium. RNAcentral describes it as "bacterial SSU rRNA". It matches the Rfam family "Bacterial small subunit ribosomal RNA", at positions 27 to 507 of the family's 1533-position model. The record is from RNAcentral.